UGCCAGCCGCCGCGGUAAUACGUAGGGUGCAAGCGUUGUCCGGAUUUAUUGGGCGUAAAGGGCUCGUAGGCGGUUCGUCGCGUCUGGUGUGAAAGCCCGCUGCUUAACGGUGGGUUUGCGUUGGAUACGGGCGGGCUUGAGUGCAGUAGGGGAGACUGGAAUUCUCGGUGUAACGGUGGAAUGUGUAGAUAUCGGGAAGAACACCUAUGGCGAAGGCAGGUCUCUGGGCUGUUACUGACGCUGAGGAGCGAAAGCGUGGGGAGCGAACAGGAUUAGAUA
RNAcentral lists this ribosomal RNA (279 nucleotides) under uncultured bacterium. Its description in RNAcentral is "partial 16S ribosomal RNA". It matches the Rfam family "Bacterial small subunit ribosomal RNA", at positions 506 to 784 of the family's 1533-position model. The record is from RNAcentral.